UACCGGCAGCUCGAGUGAUGUCCCAUAUUAUUGGGCCUAAAGCGUCCGUAGCUGGCCAUGCAAGUUCGUCGGGAAAUCCACCUGCCCAACAGGUGGGCGUCCGGCGAAAACUGCGUGGCUUGGAACCGGAAGGCUCAGAGAGUACGUCCGGGGUAGGAGUGAAAUCCCGUAAUCCCGGACGGACUACCGAUGGCGAAAGCACUCUGAGAGGACGGAUUCGACAGUGAGGGACGAAAGCUAGGGUCUCGAA
Molecule: ribosomal RNA, 250 nt
Filed under: uncultured Halobacteria archaeon
Lineage: Archaea; Methanobacteriati; Methanobacteriota; Halobacteria
Description: partial 16S ribosomal RNA
Rfam family: Archaeal small subunit ribosomal RNA
Source: RNAcentral